CCCAAAAACGUUUUUCGUCACCCGCCAGUAACUUUUUUUCCCGGAGUGAUUACCUUUUCAUCAAUUAGGUAUUGAGUGUACAAGCAAGAGAUUUGCUUUUUUAGAAAGAUUACCAAAAACUGUGUUGAAGAGGAAAGACUGGCGUUGUGUUACAAUUGAAAGAGCCAUUGAAAUGGUUUUAAAAGAAGUAAGAAGAGUUACCAAUGUGUGAAUCCCAUUUUAUAUACCAAGAAGAAGUCUGUAAAGCUACAUUGACAGAAAGAAGAAGGGAAUUUCUUCAAUUAUUGGAACAGAUAUCUAGAAAAAGUGCCUGCAAACUUAAAUGUGGUUUCUCCAGGUUAUACCAGGUUUUCAUAGAUGAAGAAAGGACUAUACUAGUUCAUUGUUUCCAUCGAUAAGCAGACAUUUAUGUUUUCCUGUCCUGUGUAAGAAAGCUUUCAAUUUACGCCCACAAUGAAUCUCCAAUUACCACUAACCAACAUCGACAAAACUUGAACUAGGUCAGACUUGUUGACUCAAGAGAUUUUAUCCAGAAGUUGCAGUGCAGUGUCUCAUUUACACACCACAGAAGAAUCGUGUUAUGCUUAAAAACAAGAUUAAUUCAGUGUAUGUUUUUAAAAGUUGGUUUAUGGGUUCGUGGUGUGAAUGUGAAUGUGAAAACAUUUUGUGUGUGUGUGUAGCAUGUCCCAAAUGCUGUGUAAAAAUGCAAUGCCAACUUGCCCCAAUUCAUUGGGCAACUUACCCCGUAGUUGGGGCAAGUUGCCCAUUUUAGGUGUCGCAUUAAAACGUAUUUUUUGGCAUAAACUUUUCCUUUUCUUAGAA
Molecule: long non-coding RNA, 822 nt
Filed under: Daphnia pulex (common water flea)
Lineage: Eukaryota; Metazoa; Arthropoda; Branchiopoda; Diplostraca; Daphniidae
Description: uncharacterized LOC124201829
Source: RNAcentral